This 467-nucleotide ribosomal RNA is filed under the name uncultured bacterium. RNAcentral's name for it is "partial 16S ribosomal RNA". It matches the Rfam family "Bacterial small subunit ribosomal RNA", at positions 29 to 507 of the family's 1533-position model. The record is from RNAcentral.
ACGGACGCUGGCGGCGUGCUUAACACAUGCACGUCGAACGGAAAGGCCCUGCUUUUGUGGGGUGCUCGAGUGGCGAACGGGUGAGUAACACGUGAGUAACCUGCCCUUGACUUUGGGAUAACUUCAGGAAACUGGGGCUAAUACCGGAUAGGAGCUCCUGCUGCAUGGUGGGGGUUGGAAAGUUUCGGCGGUUGGGGAUGGACUCGCGGCUUAUCAGCUUGUUGGUGGGGUAGUGGCUUACCAAGGCUUUGACGGGUAGCCGGCCUGAGAGGGUGACCGGCCACAUUGGGACUGAGAUACGGCCCAGACUCCUACGGGAGGCAGCAGUGGGGAAUAUUGCACAAUGGGCGGAAGCCUGAUGCAGCAACGCCGCGUGCGGGAUGACGGCCUUCGGGUUGUAAACCGCUUUCGCCUGUGACGAAGCGUGAGUGACGGUAAUGGGUAAAGAAGCACCGGCUAACUACGUG